Long non-coding RNA from Cygnus atratus (black swan), 1026 nucleotides. RefSeq lists it as uncharacterized. The record is from RefSeq and is a predicted model, not a curated record. The transcript has 3 exons. NCBI's taxonomy places the organism in Eukaryota, Metazoa, Chordata, Aves, Anseriformes, Anatidae.
AUCUGUUCAAGGUUCAGGAGGGAAGCCGUGCUGAGUCAGCCUGGCAGCUGUAUUUCCUGCUCCAGCUCUCUCCUGCCGCAUGAUUCACUCCCUCCUCCUCUGCCAGGAAGUCUUAGUCCUGGCUGAAGCAGUAAGAAGGCAGAAGGACACUCCAGCUAUCUCGCACCGGGUUAUUGGAGUGUGUGCAUCGAUUCAUUCUGCUCUGCAACAUCACGGACAGAAGGCACAAUUGUUUCUGCUAUGAUUCCAAAAUCAACUGUCAAGAGAGGGCCUUUGGGAGAAGAGUGGUGAGCCAGACAGCAGGCUCUCUGACAGCUCUGGACAGAGUUCAAGGAAAAUUGUUGGCCUUGCCAUCCUCCUUUGUGAGUCUUGGACGUGCUGGUCAGUGAAAUACCUGUGGAAUCUGCCAGCUGGACCAUCAAUUUAUAGUACAGCUUGUGCUACCCUUCUAAUCUCUUCAAUGGACCGUGAUUACUUCACUGGCUCUAACCUAAACACCCCCCAUUUGCUAGACCGUAAUUGCAGGUAAUAGUGUUAAGUGGGGUCGGGGCUGCCUUGCAGGGUGCGCGGCGCAGCAGCCCAUAGCAGCGCUGUACUGACGAGGAUCUCGAGUCUUGAGUGCUGAAAACCGUACCCUUCACCCAAACCAAGUCCACUGCAGAAUGUAUUAAUUUCUUAACAGAAUAUUUCUUGAUCACCUAAAAUCCCCAUACAAUCCCUGCUCCCUUAAAUUUGCUGUAAUAAGUUUUGUGGAGUCUUUCCCUGCUGCUCUAAAGCAAAAUGGUUUCAAAGUGUUUUUUUCCUGGGAGGUAUCCCCUCUGUGCCGUUGCCCUGUGCUGCUGCUCCACUGGGUGUGUGCUACACCGAUGAGCUGAGGCACAUGCAGGUGUGAUAUCUUGUGUUCGGUGCUUUCAGUAGGUGAGAUUUGGCCCUUUCUCUGUCAAUCGAAUGCUCUAAACACGAAUAUGAUGCUGCUGCAAUGUGAAUAUUAAAUGUGCAGUGCACGGAAUAAAAGAUGCAAGCUCC